Molecule: ribosomal RNA, 516 nt
Filed under: uncultured marine bacterium
Lineage: Bacteria
Description: bacterial SSU rRNA
Rfam family: Bacterial small subunit ribosomal RNA
Source: RNAcentral
CCUAUGCGGGGCAGCAGUGUGGAAUAUUWUACACAGGGGGCAAGCGCGUUAUAGCCAUGCGGCGUGUGUGAUGAAGGCGCUAGGGUGGUAAAGCACUUUCGCCUGUGAAGAUAAUGACUGUGGCACAUAAAGAAACCCCCGGGUAAUCCGUGCCAGCGCAGCCGGUAUUAUGGAGGGGGUGAGCGUUGUUUUGAAUUAUUGGGSGUAAAGCGCGCAUAGGCGGGGUGKAAACUGUCGGGGGAAAUAGCCGGGGUCUACCCCCGAAAAGCGUCUAAAACUCCCAGGGAAUAGAUAGUGAGAGAGGAGUGGAAUUUUCACAGUAGAGAGGAAAAAUUUAUAUAUUUGGAGGAACACACCAGAGGAAGGCGGCUCCACGGCUCGAUAAUGACACGGAGGUGUGAAAAAGUGGGGAGCAAACAGGAUUUUAUACCCCGGUGGUGCACACSCUAUAAGAUAAAAGUCAGUGGUGUGGGGAGCUUGUUUUCGGGACGCCAGUUAACGCAUUAAGCAUUCCGC